Myotis brandtii (Brandt's bat) is the source of this 75-nucleotide non-coding RNA. NCBI's taxonomy places the organism in Eukaryota, Metazoa, Chordata, Mammalia, Chiroptera, Vespertilionidae. The record is from Rfam.
GGCAGUUCUCAGGUGACUCAUCCCGGAAUCAGGCUCCCUCCUCUCUGCUUCUGGGUGCCUUACCCGAGAACCGCA